Molecule: ribosomal RNA, 697 nt
Filed under: Dixonia thamnioides
Lineage: Eukaryota; Viridiplantae; Streptophyta; Bryopsida; Hypnales; Orthostichellaceae
Description: eukaryotic LSU rRNA
Rfam family: Eukaryotic large subunit ribosomal RNA
Source: RNAcentral
UUUCCCUAGCUAACGGCGAGCGAACCGGGAAAGAGCCCAGCUUGAAAAUCGUGGUGCCUCGCGCCUCGAAUUGUAGUCUGGAGAAGGUCCCUCUGCGACGCGCCGGACCCAAGUUCCCUGGAAAGGGACGUCAUCGAGGGUGACAACCCCGUCCGCGCCCGGAACGCGUCGCUCCACGAGGACCUGUCUGCGAGUCGGGCUGUUUGGGAAUGCAGCCCUAAGCGGGAGGUAAAUUCCUUCCAAGGCUAAAUAUGGGCAAGAGACCGAUAGCGAACAAGUACCGCGAGGGAAAGAUGAAAAGGACUUUGAAAAGAGAGUUAAAAAGUGCUUGAAAUUGCUGGGAGGGAAGCGAAUGGAAGCUGCGGGUGCGCCCCGGUUGGAUGUGGAACGGCUUCGGCUGGUCCGCCGCUCAACGCGGGGCGCUGGUCAGCGUGGGCCGUCGCGCCGGGACAAGAGCAGGGAUCCGCUUCCUGCCUAUGCCGGUGCGGUGGCCGAGGAACGAAGCGCGCGCCUCACGGCGUGGGUUCGCCCAACUGCGCGCUCGGGACGCUGGCGUAUUGAGCUCUUCAUCCGACCCGUCUUGAAACACGGACCAAGGAGUCUAACAUGUAUGCGAGCCGGUGGGCGGCAAACCCAUUGAGGCGCAAGUAAACUGACAGGUGGGACCCCGACCGCGAGGGAGGGAGCACCAUCGACC